GGACCGGGGCUGGGGACACGGGGCUGGGGACACGGGGCUGGGGGGUGUCCCUGCCCCCCGGGUCACGCGUGGGGCGGGCAUCGCGGUUCGGGGAGCCCCGGCGCCCCCUCACGCCGGGGUCCGGCAGCAGGAGCCCCAGGCGAGGCAUGGAGCCCCCUCCCCAGAGCGCGCAGGACACCGCGAGCGUGGCGGACGCUGCUGCCGAGUUCCUGAGCCUCAUCGGGCUGAAGGAGCUGGAGUGGUGCCUGUUUGCCGAGACGCUGGCAGUGGUGGCCCCACCAAGGCACAAGGCAGAGGGCCAGUGGUGGAUGGCAGCCCAGUGGGCACCCUACCAUCGGGAAGGGGAGCCGGUGCAGAGCUGCAUCCUGGUGCAGACCAGGUUCCGAGGCAAGCAGGAUGGUGUGCCUGCCUCCAGCACCCUCAAAGCCUAUGUGACCUGGCAGCUGGAGACGCUGGAGCAGGAGGAGCAGGAGUGCCUGGAGGUGACUGAUAUGGUGGUGGCAUGUCCCUUUCCCUGUGUCCUACCUGCUGCCCUGGGCUGUGCCCUGCAGUGGUGCCCUGCUGGGGGCUGUCCCCUGUGGGUAGUCUGGCAUCCCUUGCCAUGCUCAGACUCCAGCUCUGCCCCACCAGCCCGGUCCCCAUCCCCUGCUCUGGGUGGCAGCUGGGGUGGGGAGUUUCCCACAAUGCAUCUGGAAUGGUACCCCGACUGGCAGCGCUGCUGGGGCUGCCAGCUCAGAGGAGGGCGCCCUGGCUCUACCCUCCCCCCCGUGCCUCCCACCCCUCCCGCAGCUCAGACCACACCCCACCGAGAAGACGACGCACAUUGUGAGCCACGAGCACGGGAUGACGGUCACCAAGACCCUGCAGCAGGGAGAGGCGGAGCCGCAGUGCCACAGCUUCUCGUACGGCCGGGCCACGCUGCGGGCGCGGCUGCUGGAGGGGGCCAGCCUGCUGCUGCUGCGGGUGCUGGCACGCCGGCAGACCGUGCCCCCCGGCCUUGUCUUGCCAGCCAUCGACAGCGAGGGCCACCUGUGCACCUCCCGCUAUUGUGCCCUGGGCAUCCAGCGGCAGGCGCUGGGCUCGGCAGAGACAGAGGUGUUUGUGAUCCAGCGGGUCCUGCACGGCAGCACAGGCGCUCCCGCCGUGUGGCACAGCAGCUUCCUGCCCAACGGGUGUCUGGCUCAGAUGGUGCAGAUUGGCUCCCCGGUGCUGAUGAUUCUACAGGAUGAGUCCAUCCUCAGCAAGCCAGGUUUGAGCCCCAGCUCCCCUUCCCCAAAGAGCCCCUGGACUGGGAGGAGGACAAGGAGCUCUACUCCUAUUUCCUGGACAGGAAGGAUGAGCUGCAACUCUCCCAUGCUGCCUACCUCCAG
Passer domesticus (house sparrow) is the source of this 1370-nucleotide RNA transcript. It is a transcript of the gene named ciliogenesis associated TTC17 interacting protein, with no coding region annotated. The record is from RefSeq and is a predicted model, not a curated record. The transcript has 8 exons. NCBI's taxonomy places the organism in Eukaryota, Metazoa, Chordata, Aves, Passeriformes, Passeridae.